GUAGAUGAUGAAAUAUGCACUGGGCUCUGAGCAGUUCAAUCAAAACUGUUUAAUUUGAUGGACAUUGCAGCCUAGAAAGCUUGUCUGAUAC
RNAcentral lists this small nucleolar RNA (91 nucleotides) under Theobroma cacao (cacao). Lineage: Eukaryota; Viridiplantae; Streptophyta; Magnoliopsida; Malvales; Malvaceae. The record is from RNAcentral.